Long non-coding RNA from Sciurus carolinensis (gray squirrel), 463 nucleotides. RefSeq lists it as uncharacterized. Lineage: Eukaryota; Metazoa; Chordata; Mammalia; Rodentia; Sciuridae. The transcript has 4 exons. The record is from RefSeq and is a predicted model, not a curated record.
CUUCAAAGUGCUCAGAACUCAGAGAGGACAGAUACAACAUAAUAUACCACCUGCCAUCUUUGGAAGCUUGGAAUAGAAUUGAUACAGAGGAUCAGAUGAUGCUCCCAACAGGUGAAAAGAGGCUCUCAAACAAGCUCGGCAUUCAUCAUGUCCUGAGGAAAAUCCCAUGUUGCUUCAUGCCAUUGAUCUGUAGCUGUCUCCAACAAAAGGACCUGAAUGCCUGCCGUGGCCCUGGGAAUUUUAAAUAAGAAGUCAAUGAGAGAUGCUGGGCGAGCAUGAAGCCAGGCACAUAGGACAUAUUCUGGACUACUGAUUGAAUAAUUGCAAUCUUCCAAACAGAGUUAUUCUACUGGCUGAUUCUCAGUCCAGAAAAAUACAGUAACUCCUUCAUUUGUUUUCCACACCUUUGGCUGCUGAACACUCAUUACUUUUCCCAGAUCAUCUUUAGGGAGGUGUUUUCUCA